GCGAACCGGGGGAACUGAAACAUCUAAGUACCCCGAGGAAAAGAAAUCAACCGAGAUUCCCCCAGUAGCGGCGAGCGAACGGGGAGGAGCCCAGAGCCUGAAUCAGCAUGUGUGUUAGUGGAAGCGUCUGGAAAGGCGCGCGAUACAGGGUGACAGCCCCGUACACAAAAGCGCAUGUGCUGUGAGCUCGAUGAGUAGGGCGGGACACGUGGUAUCCUGUCUGAAUAUGGGGGGACCAUCCUCCAAGGCUAAAUACUCCUGACUGACCGAUAGUGAACCAGUACCGUGAGGGAAAGGCGAAAAGAACCCCGGCGAGGGGAGUGAAAAAGAACCUGAAACCGUGUACGUACAAGCAGUGGGAGCACAGGUUUACCUGUGUGACUGCGUACCUUUUGUAUAAUGGGUCAGCGACUUAUAUUCUGUAGCAAGGUUAACCGCAUAGGGGAGCCGUAGGGAAACCGAGUCUUAACCGGGCGUUAAGUUGCAGGGUAUAGACCCGAAACCCGGUGAUCUAGCCAUGGGCAGGUUGAAGGUUGGGUAACACUAACUGGAGGACCGAACCGACUAAUGUUGAAAAAUUAGCGGAUGACCUGUGGCUGGGGGUGAAAGGCCAAUCAAACCGGGAGAUAGCUGGUUCUCCCCGAAAGCUAUUUAGGUAGCGCCUCGUGAAUUCAUCUCCGGGGGUAGAGCACUGUUUCGGCUAGGGGGCCAUCCCGGCUUACCAACCCGAUGCAAACUGCGAAUACCGGAGAAUGUUAUCACGGGAGACACACGGCGGGUGCUAACGUCCGUCGUGAAGAGGGAAACAACCCAGACCGCCAGCUAAGGUCCCAAAGUCAUGGUUAAGUGGGAAACGAUGUGGGAAGGCCCAGACAGCCAGGAUGUUGGCUUAGAAGCAGCCAUCAUUUAAAGAAAGCGUAAUAGCUCACUGGUCGAGUCGGCCUGCGCGGAAGAUGUAACGGGGCUAAACCAU
RNAcentral lists this ribosomal RNA (973 nucleotides) under Salmonella enterica subsp. enterica serovar Hadar. RNAcentral's name for it is "partial 23S ribosomal RNA". It matches the Rfam family "Bacterial large subunit ribosomal RNA", at positions 179 to 1190 of the family's 2925-position model. Lineage: Bacteria; Pseudomonadati; Pseudomonadota; Gammaproteobacteria; Enterobacterales; Enterobacteriaceae. The record is from RNAcentral.